UUUAUCGAAAUUCAAGGUUCGAGAACAAUUACUUAAUGAGGCGUAUAGUAAAUUCCUCCAGCUUAUCUCAGCUUCCUCCAUUUCGUAGAUUUCAAUUGUUUAUUGUUUUAAAAAUGAGUAUUGGUGUUAUUUUGAAUUGUGUGCGGAUUUAAAAAGCAAUUUCACAUAGAAUAUGGAACGCUAUAAAGUCUAUUUCGUUUCGAGUGCUAUAUUAUGUUCAAUUUGGCAGCAGUACGUUUCAGCUUCAAGUUCAUCGGGAGACUUUUUCACCGAGUUAAAGUACGCAAGUCCAUGCCCUGCGAACGAGUCAGGGAAGAAUUUAAUUCAAUAUAAUUUGAAAUCAGUUCGAAAUGCCAAUGGUGGAAAAUACCUGAGUGGAAAUAUCACCUACCUUAUACCAUUUGACGAUAGCAUAGAGGUAGAUAACAUUUUUCAAUAUGCUGUAGAAAUAAUAGAACCAAAUAUGUAUGUACUAAUGUGUAUUUUUGUUUAGGGAGUGUUUCAGUUAGAAAAAUUCUCCCCAUCUACUGGCAGAUUCACAGCGAACUAUUUUCGAAUCACUUUGAAUCGUAUUUGUUCAGAUACCUAUCGCUACAUGGGAGAGCUUUGGAAAACUUUCCAGCGCAUUAAUAACAUGCCAAUUGGUUGCCCAAUUCCUCGAGGAACAUAUUUCGUGAAUGAAUACGAUGUUAAUUUGUUAUUUGAUCAGAAAGGAGGAGCUAUGGCUACAUUACCGAAAUCUUUUUUUUAUGGAAAAUAUAAACUGAACAUGAUUUUUGAAAAAAAUAAAGAACUUAUUGGGUGUCAUGUGGAGAUCGUUGAAUGUAAACCACGAGCUUGGCAAAAACACAACAAGGAAAACUGAAUUUUUGUAGCUCAAUUUGUGGUAGGAUUUCAUUUAAAUUUGUGUAGAAAAUUAUAUCGAUGUAUUAAUUUAAUAAUUAUACAUACAUAGGUAUGUAUCUUCAUUACUCAAUAAAAUUGUUCCA
Molecule: long non-coding RNA, 989 nt
Organism: Planococcus citri (citrus mealybug)
Lineage: Eukaryota; Metazoa; Arthropoda; Insecta; Hemiptera; Pseudococcidae
Exons: 3
Source: RefSeq, a predicted model, not a curated record